GCUUGUCUCAAAGAUUAAGCCAUGCAUGUCUAAGUAUAAACGACUUUAUACAGUGAAACUGCGAAUGGCUCAUUAAAUCAGUUAUAGUUUAUUUGAUAAUACCUUACUACUUGGAUAACCGUGGUAAUUCUAGAGCUAAUACAUGCUACACAACCCGACUUCUGGAAGGGUGGUACUGAUUAGAUACAAAACCAAUCCGGGCAACCGGUUCACUGGUGAUUCAUAAUCAUUUCUCGAAUCGUAUGGCUUUACGCUGACGAUGGUUCAUUCAAAUUUCUGCCCUAUCAACUGUCGACUGUGAUAUAGACGCUCACAGUGGUUUUGACGGGUAACGGGGAAUCAGGGUUCGAUUCCGGAGAGGGAGCCUUAAAAACGGCUACCACAUCCAAGGAAGGCAGCAGG
This 402-nucleotide ribosomal RNA is filed under the name uncultured Chytridiomycota. RNAcentral's name for it is "partial small subunit ribosomal RNA". It matches the Rfam family "Eukaryotic small subunit ribosomal RNA", at positions 30 to 432 of the family's 1831-position model. The record is from RNAcentral. Lineage: Eukaryota; Fungi; Chytridiomycota.